Molecule: long non-coding RNA, 467 nt
Organism: Mytilus trossulus (common blue mussel)
Lineage: Eukaryota; Metazoa; Mollusca; Bivalvia; Mytilida; Mytilidae
Exons: 3
Source: RefSeq, a predicted model, not a curated record
AGAACGAUUUGAAAUGAAACACUUAUCAAUUGUUGGAGGAUACUUUGUGUUACUUCUGAUCUUUGCAAGUGUUCUGGAAGAACAUGGAGUGACAGCACAACCACGACACAGUGUGAAGUUACCCCAUUGCCAAUUAUUCUGCAAACUACCACUAUCAACGUCUGGAUGUAACACGUGUUGUAGAAGUGCUGUUCAAAUAUACGAUAUCGGAGAGUGUCAUUCUAACGCCUGUCAUUGUUGGGUUUGGUUACCCUAGAUAUCAGUAUAUAUAAUAAUCAAGGCGUGACACUAAUAAAACACAGUUGAUUUUUGUUAGUGUCCGAAACUUUUUUGCCGAUUGAUCAUCAGACCGCCCUAAGUCGAAUAUUGGAAAACAUGGAUUUAUAAGGACCGAAAACGUUUAAGGUGUAGAUAGUUGAAUGUUCAAAUAUAUUAUAAGAAGAAGCUAUAUGUUCCCCAGCGAAACA